AGUGAUUGAUACCCUGCUUCCAAGAAAAGCCUCUAAGCUUCAGUUAUCAAGAGACCGUACCGCAAACCGACACAGGUGGGCAGGAUGAAAAUUCUCAGGCGCUUGAGAGAACUCAGGAGAAGGAACUCGGCAAAUUUGCACCGUAACUUCGGGAGAAGGUGCGCCCUGAUAGGUUGUGGCCCCUCGCGGGUGAAGGCUGAAAGGGUUGCAGUGAACUGGUAGCUGCGACUGUUUAAUAAAAACACAGCACUCUGCAAACACGAAAGUGGACGUAUAGGGUGUGACGCCUGCCCGGUGCCGGAAGGUUAAGUGAUGGGGUGCAAGCUCUUGAUCGAAGCCCCGGUAAACGGCGGCCGUAACGAUAACGGUCCUAAGGUAGCGAAAUUCCUGUCGGGUAAGUUCCGACCUGCACGAAUGGCGUAACGAUGGCCACACUGUCUCCUCCUGAGACUCAGCGAAGUUGAAAUGGUUGUGAAGAUGCAAUCUCCCCGCGGUUAGACGGAAAGACCCCAUGAACCUUUACUGUAGCUUUGCAUUGGACUUUGAACCGACUUGUGUAGGAUAGGUGGGAGGCUGUGAAACCGGGACGCUAGUCCGGGUGGAGCCAACCUUGAAAUACCACCCUGGUUUGUUUGAGGUUCUAACCACGGCCCGUGAAUCCGGGUCUGGGACCGUGCAUGGUAGGCAGUUUGACUGGGGCGGUCUCCUCCUAAAGUGUAACGGAGGAGUACGAAGGUACGCUAGGUACGGUCGGACAUCGUGCUAAUAGUGCAAUGGCAAAAGCGUGCUUGACUGCGAGACCCACACGUCGAGCAGGUACGAAAGUAGGUCAUAGUGAUCCGGUGGUUCUGUAUGGAAGGGCCAUCGCUCAACGGAUAAAAGGUACUCUGGGGAUAACAGGCUAAUACCGCCCAAGAGUUCAUAUCGACGGCGGUGUUUGGCACCUCGAUGUCGGCUCAUCACAUCCUGGGGCUGUAGUCGGUCCCAAGGGUAUGGCUGUUCGCCAUUUAAAGUGGUACGUGAGCUGGGUUUAAAACGUCGUGAGACAGUUUGGUCCCUAUCUGCCGUGGGCGCUGGAAAUUUGAAGGGGGCUGCUCCUAGUACGAGAGGACCGGAGUGGACGAACCUCUGGUGUACCGGUUAUGACGCCAGUCGUAUCGCCGGGUAGCUAUGUUCGGAAGAGAUAAACGCUGAAAGCAUCUAAGCGUGAAACUCGCCUUAAGAUGAGAUUUCCCCGGGGACUUGAUCCCCCUGAAGGGUCGUGGUAGACCACCACGUUGAUAGGCUG
RNAcentral lists this ribosomal RNA (1288 nucleotides) under metagenome. RNAcentral's name for it is "bacterial LSU rRNA". It matches the Rfam family "Bacterial large subunit ribosomal RNA", at positions 1589 to 2863 of the family's 2925-position model. The record is from RNAcentral.